GUACCCGUAGCUCAGCUGGAUAGAGCGCAACCCUGCGGAGGUUGAGGUCGGAGGUUCAAAUCCCCCCGGGUACACCA
Molecule: transfer RNA, 77 nt
Filed under: Candidatus Peregrinibacteria bacterium CG_4_10_14_0_2_um_filter_41_8
Lineage: Bacteria; Candidatus Peregrinibacteriota
Also listed under: 2 other names
Description: tRNA-Arg
Rfam family: tRNA
About the family: Transfer RNA (tRNA) molecules are approximately 80 nucleotides in length. Their secondary structure includes four short double-helical elements and three loops (D, anti-codon, and T loops).
Source: RNAcentral